UCACUCUCGUUCACGCUCGUCUCCCUCUCUCACUUUUCUCUCUCGCCGGAAAUCGCUUCCGCCGCGCCGGAGGCGGCGGAGCAUGACCUUACACCUAAUAAUCCAAAAUCACAACCCUUGCUUCAACCUGAACCCUAUCCUGACCUCAAUUUCACAAAGAGAAAACUCUAAUGUCGUAGAUCGACAAAGGGGAAAUGCGAGCCCUAAAUUCCGAUCAUCAACGAUUUGCAAAAAAAAACGAACGUGAUUCUGGAGAUUGAAGAAAGGCGACGGACGGACCAGCAUCAAACAAUGAUAAAGCAUCAAGAACACGCAAGAAGGAGGAUGGUGAAGACUUACCUGAAUCGUUGAUCGUUGAAUGAGUUGACCGAGAAUACCAGAGGUGAGGAUCCAGUGCUCGGGUGCGAAAUAAACGCAGGAACACGUCGAGUUCUUCAGAGGUUGAAGCUUUGGAAUUGUUGCUCAAAGAUUGAAGGUUGCUUGCGAUUCGUUUUGCUGAGAGAGAAAGAGUUGCAGAAGUGGUGAAGGUUGGGAUGAAGAUGAUGAGAGUGAAGCGAUGGUGUAUGUACAAUGGUGGAGAUGAUGAAGAUGUGAAGUUUGAGAAAUGGUGAAUCGUUUUUCUGCGAGGCUUUUUCUGAGUUUUUGUGUACCAAUUGCAGAGAAACAAGAUGAAGUGAAGGAGAAGAUGCAGAUUGAAGAACAAAGAGAGGUUCAGAGGAGUUUGAAGGUGAUGAAGAUGAGUUCAGAGAGAGAAGGUUGAAGAUUGAGAGAGAGUAAAGAACUGAGAGUGAAGAUUGGUGAUGAUUGAAGAGUGAAGGUGGAGGAGAAUGGUGGAGAGUGAAGAAUGAGAGAAUGGAGAGGAGGUUCUGAAUGAUGAUGUUUCUGAUUUAUAGAAGCUGAAGGUUGGUGGAUUGGUGAGAGAGGAUUGGAGACUGAAGAGAAGGAUCGGCAAGAGAUAACAACUGAUACAGUAGAAGCUUCAAUCACAGGAAGCAAGCCAGUAUGGGAGCUAGCUACAGGAGAUGAAACGAAGAAAUCCGCCAUUGCAACUGAACCAUUGGCCCCUUUCAUACAGUAAACAUCAUGUUCCAUGAAUUUCUCAGAUAAUACGAUGCCAAGUUCACCUUCAGCUCCAUAUGCAUCACUUAGUAAUACAAUGGACUGUAUCUCGGGUUCAAGUUCGUCAAGACUGCCAGCUUUCAUUGCAUUUACAUGGGAUCCGAUUUCAUCCUCCAUCAUGUCGAGGAAUUUCCUAAAAUCAAAGCUGUAAUUAAGAUCAUUCUCUUGACAUAAAAGAAUAUCAAACCGGUCUGUA
Molecule: long non-coding RNA, 1315 nt
Organism: Vicia villosa (hairy vetch)
Lineage: Eukaryota; Viridiplantae; Streptophyta; Magnoliopsida; Fabales; Fabaceae
Exons: 3
Source: RefSeq, a predicted model, not a curated record